AUACGUAGGGGGCAAGCGUUAUCCGGAUUUACUGGGUGUAAAGGGAGCGUAGACGGAAGGCCAAGUCUGAUGUGAAAGCCCGCGGCUCAACUGCGGGACUGCAUUGGAAACUGGUCAUCUGGAGUGCAGGAGGGGUAAGCGGAAUUCCUAGUGUAGCGGUGAAAUGCGUAGAUAUUAGGAGGAACACCAGAGGCGAAGGCGGCUUCCUGGACUGUAACUGACGUUGAGGCUCGAAGGCGUGGGGAGCAAACAGGAUUAGAUACCCUGGUAGUCCACGCGGUAAACGAUGAUCACUAGGUGUUGGCACGCAUAGCGUGUCGGUGCCGCAGCAAACGCAACAAGUGAUCCACCUGGGGAGUACGGUCGCAAGAAUGAAACUCAAAUGAAUUGACGGGG
This 396-nucleotide ribosomal RNA is filed under the name uncultured bacterium. Its description in RNAcentral is "partial 16S ribosomal RNA". It matches the Rfam family "Bacterial small subunit ribosomal RNA", at positions 523 to 918 of the family's 1533-position model. The record is from RNAcentral.